GAAGUAGAUAGCUUGCUAUUUACGGAGUGAGUCGCGAACGGGUGAGUAACGCGUAGGUAACCUACCUUUUAGCGGGGGAUAACUAUUGGAAACGAUAGCUAAUACCGCAUAAUAUUCUAUAUUUCAUGAUAGAGGAUUGAAAGAUGCAACUGCAUCACUAAGAGAUGGACCUGCGUUGUAUUAGCUAGUUGGUGAGGUAACGGCUCACCAAGGCAACGAUACAUAGCCGACCUGAGAGGGUGAUCGGCCACACUGGGACUGAGACACGGCCCAGACUCCUACGGGAGGCAGCAGUAGGGAAUCUUCGGCAAUGGGGGGAACCCUGACCGAGCAACGCCGCGUGAGUGAAGAAGGUUUUCGGAUCGGUAAAGCUCUGUUGUAAGAGAAGAACGAGUGUGAGAGUGGAAAGUUCACACUGUGACGGUAUCUUACCAGAAAGGGACGGCUAACUACGUGCCAGCAGCCGCGGUAAUACGUAGGUCCCGAGCGUUGUCCGGAUUUAUUGGGCGUAAAGCGAGCGCAGGCGGUUUGAUAAGUCUGAAGUUAAAGGCUGUGGCUCAACCAUAGUUCGCUUUGGAAACUGUCAAACUUGAGUGCAGAAGGGGAGAGUGGAAUUCCAUGUGUAGCGGUGAAAUGCGUAGAUAUAUGGAGGAACACCGGUGGCGAAAGCGGCUCUCUGGUCUGUAACUGACGCUGAGGCUCGAAAGCGUGGGGAGCAAACAGGAUUAGAUACCCUGGUAGUCCACGCCGUAAACGAUGAGUGCUAGGUGUUAGGCCCUUUCCGGGGCUUAGUGCCGCAGC
This 801-nucleotide ribosomal RNA is filed under the name uncultured bacterium. RNAcentral describes it as "SSU rRNA". It matches the Rfam family "Bacterial small subunit ribosomal RNA", at positions 68 to 852 of the family's 1533-position model. The record is from RNAcentral.